UGGUGGACUUUUGGUGGAGGAACCAGACUGGAUGUUGGAAGUGAUGUCCGUCCCACCCUGACGGUGCUGCCCCCCUCCAGCGAGGAGCUGCAGCAAGGGAAGGCCACGCUCAUGUGUCUGGCCAACGAUGGCUUCCCCUCAGACUGGAGUCUGGCCUGGAAGGUGGACGGCAGCAGCAGCAGCUUGGAGCAGAGCAGGAGCCCCGGGGUGCUGCAGAAGGACGGCCGCUACAGCUGGAGCAGCACCCUGAGGCUCCCUGCAGACCAGUGGAGGAAGGUGGUCUCUGUGACCUGUGAGGCCACCCAGGGCUCCCAGACUCCAGUCUCAGAGACACUGAGGAGAGACCAGUGUUCCUAG
Thunnus maccoyii (southern bluefin tuna) is the source of this 357-nucleotide non-coding RNA. The record is from the annotation of a RefSeq genome assembly. NCBI's taxonomy places the organism in Eukaryota, Metazoa, Chordata, Actinopteri, Scombriformes, Scombridae.